This 91-nucleotide small nucleolar RNA is filed under the name Echinops telfairi (small Madagascar hedgehog). RNAcentral's name for it is "Small nucleolar RNA SNORA13 (ENSETEG00000026950.1)". Lineage: Eukaryota; Metazoa; Chordata; Mammalia; Afrosoricida; Tenrecidae. The record is from RNAcentral.
UGGAUUAGAAAAACAAGACAUAUCACCCUGGCAGCCACAUCCUGCCUUUGAAUUCGGUUCUUUGGCGUCCGGAGCUGGAUAAGGAACAGUC